GGUUAAGCGACUAAGCGUACACGGUGGAUGCCCUGGCAGUCAGAGGCGAUGAAGGACGUGCUAAUCUGCGAUAAGCGUCGGUAAGGUGAUAUGAACCGUUAUAACCGGCGAUUUCCGAAUGGGGAAACCCAGUGUGUUUCGACACACUAUCAUUAACUGAAUCCAUAGGUUAAUGAGGCGAACCGGGGGAACUGAAACAUCUAAGUACCCCGAGGAAAAGAAAUCAACCGAGAUUCCCCCAGUAGCGGCGAGCGAACGGGGAGCAGCCCAGAGCCUGAAUCAGUGUGUGUGUUAGUGGAAGCGUCUGGAAAGGCGCGCGAUACAGGGUGACAGCCCCGUACACAAAAAUGCACAUGCUGUGAGCUCGAUGAGUAGGGCGGGACACGUGGUAUCCUGUCUGAAUAUGGGGGGACCAUCCUCCAAGGCUAAAUACUCCUGACUGACCGAUAGUGAACCAGUACCGUGAGGGAAAGGCGAAAAGAACCCCGGCGAGGGGAGUGAAAAAGAACCUGAAACCGUGUACGUACAAGCAGUGGGAGCACGCUUCGGCGUGUGACUGCGUACCUUUUGUAUAAUGGGUCAGCGACUUAUAUUCUGUAGCAAGGUUAACCGAAUAGGGGAGCCGAAGGGAAACCGAGUCUUAACUGGGCGUUAAGUUGCAGGGUAUAGACCCGAAACCCGGUGAUCUAGCCAUGGGCAGGUUGAAGGUUGGGUAACACUAACUGGAGGACCGAACCGACUAAUGUUGAAAAAUUAGCGGAUGACUUGUGGCUGGGGGUGAAAGGCCAAUCAAACCGGGAGAUAGCUGGUUCUCCCCGAAAGCUAUUUAGGUAGCGCCUCGUGAAUUCAUCUCCGGGGGUAGAGCACUGUUUCGGCAAGGGGGUCAUCCCGACUUACCAACCCGAUGCAAACUGCGAAUACCGGAGAAUGUUAUCACGGGAGACACACGGCGGGUGCUAACGUCCGUCGUGAAGAGGGAAACAACCCAGACCGCCAGCUAAGGUCCCAAAGUCAUGGUUAAGUGGGAAACGAUGUGGGAAGGCCCAGACAGCCAGGAUGUUGGCUUAGAAGCAGCCAUCAUUUAAAGAAAGCGUAAUAGCUCACUGGUCGAGUCGGCCUGCGCGGAAGAUGUAACGGGGCUAAACCAUGCACCGAAGCUGCGGCAGCGACACUAUGUGUUGUUGGGUAGGGGAGCGUUCUGUAAGCCUGUGAAGGUGUGCUGUGAGGCAUGCUGGAGGUAUCAGAAGUGCGAAUGCUGACAUAAGUAACGAUAAAGCGGGUGAAAAGCCCGCUCGCCGGAAGACCAAGGGUUCCUGUCCAACGUUAAUCGGGGCAGGGUGAGUCGACCCCUAAGGCGAGGCCGAAAGGCGUAGUCGAUGGGAAACAGGUUAAUAUUCCUGUACUUGGUGUUACUGCGAAGGGGGGACGGAGAAGGCUAUGUUGGCCGGGCGACGGUUGUCCCGGUUUAAGCGUGUAGGCUGGUUUUCCAGGCAAAUCCGGAAAAUCAAGGCUGAGGCGUGAUGACGAGGCACUACGGUGCUGAAGCAACAAAUGCCCUGCUUCCAGGAAAAGCCUCUAAGCAUCAGGUAACAUCAAAUCGUACCCCAAACCGACACAGGUGGUCAGGUAGAGAAUACCAAGGCGCUUGAGAGAACUCGGGUGAAGGAACUAGGCAAAAUGGUGCCGUAACUUCGGGAGAAGGCACGCUGAUAUGUAGGUGAAGUCCCUCGCGGAUGGAGCUGAAAUCAGUCGAAGAUACCAGCUGGCUGCAACUGUUUAUUAAAAACACAGCACUGUGCAAACACGAAAGUGGACGUAUACGGUGUGACGCCUGCCCGGUGCCGGAAGGUUAAUUGAUGGGGUAGCGCAAGCGAAGCUCUUGAUCGAAGCCCCGGUAAACGGCGGCCGUAACUAUAACGGUCCUAAGGUAGCGAAAUUCCUUGUCGGGUAAGUUCCGACCUGCACGAAUGGCGUAAUGAUGGCCAGGCUGUCUCCACCCGAGACUCAGUGAAAUUGAACUCGCUGUGAAGAUGCAGUGUACCCGCGGCAAGACGGAAAGACCCCGUGAACCUUUACUAUAGCUUGACACUGAACAUUGAGCCUUGAUGUGUAGGAUAGGUGGGAGGCUUUGAAGUGUAGACGCCAGUCUGCAUGGAGCCGACCUUGAAAUACCACCCUUUAAUGUUUGAUGUUCUAACGUUGACCCGUAAUCCGGGUUGCGGACAGUGUCUGGUGGGUAGUUUGACUGGGGCGGUCUCCUCCUAAAGAGUAACGGAGGAGCACGAAGGUUGGCUAAUCCUGGUCGGACAUCAGGAGGUUAGUGCAAUGGCAUAAGCCAGCUUGACUGCGAGCGUGACGGCGCGAGCAGGUGCGAAAGCAGGUCAUAGUGAUCCGGUGGUUCUGAAUGGAAGGGCCAUCGCUCAACGGAUAAAAGGUACUCCGGGGAUAACAGGCUGAUACCGCCCAAGAGUUCAUAUCGACGGCGGUGUUUGGCACCUCGAUGUCGGCUCAUCACAUCCUGGGGCUGAAGUAGGUCCCAAGGGUAUGGCUGUUCGCCAUUUAAAGUGGUACGCGAGCUGGGUUUAGAACGUCGUGAGACAGUUCGGUCCCUAUCUGCCGUGGGCGCUGGAGAACUGAGGGGGGCUGCUCCUAGUACGAGAGGACCGGAGUGGACGCAUCACUGGUGUUCGGGUUGUCAUGCCAAUGGCACUGCCCGGUAGCUAAAUGCGGAAGAGAUAAGUGCUGAAAGCAUCUAAGCACGAAACUUGCCCCGAGAUGAGUUCUCCCUGACCCUUUAAGGGUCCUGAAGGAACGUUGAAGACGACGACGUUGAUAGGCCGGGUGUGUAAGCGCAGCGAUGCGUUGAGCUAACCGGUACUAAUGAACCGUGAGGCUUAACCUU
This 2902-nucleotide ribosomal RNA is filed under the name Escherichia coli. Its description in RNAcentral is "23S ribosomal RNA". It matches the Rfam family "Bacterial large subunit ribosomal RNA". The record is from RNAcentral. Lineage: Bacteria; Pseudomonadati; Pseudomonadota; Gammaproteobacteria; Enterobacterales; Enterobacteriaceae.